AAAUGUUUUAGAUACAUUGAUGUUAAAAUUUCAUAGAUAAGCACUGAAAAUGUAUAUUUAUUUCACGAAUGGAGUGUUAUAGAAUGGUAAUCUUAAUUAGAUAAGUGGUUGGAGGGACACUCUGUGCUUUGAUUUAGAUAAAGAAUGCCUGAAUUUGACCAUGCCUUCUCCUCAUAUGCCGCUUGAUCAGGAUCUAUGUAGAUUUUACAUGUGUUGUUUUCUUGAGGAUGAGAAAGAAAAGAAACCAAGGCUUGUGAUCUCUUUGCUGGGUAAGGUAAUUUUGUACGACAUUAAGGAUGAGGAUGCUAAGGAGCUAGUUGAAGCAGGAACCAAUGAUAUUGAUCGUGGUUGGAAUAACUUUUAUGACUGGACAGAAACCUACCAGUUCAUGUAGAUGCUUGCUAAUGUUUGAUUCCUUUCUGUAGCAUGCUCCAACAUGUUGAAGGGGCUAGCUUGAUGUACCUAAUAUCACUCUCCCAGACUAGAAACAUGAGUAUGAUGAAUCACUGUUGUGUAGCUUUAGAAACCUAAGAUUAGUUUGCUUGAUGGUUUACAAGAUCACUGCAUAUAUGUAUCAGCUGUUAAUCAGCCAAGCUUCAGUUGAGUACAGAUUGAUUUGAUCCAAGCUUCAGGCUAGAAAGCCUAGUUUUCCGACUGGGCAAAAUAGAAAAUAGGGCAAGAAAAUUUCAGUUGUAAGAAAGUUUGCAAAUAAAUAAAUCAUCCGACAAUACUUAUGGAAACAUCAAUCAACAACAAUAUCAGCAAGCGAAUUUUGGGCACAUUUGCUGUAGACUUGCUCCUCUGUUUUUUACUCAAUUAUUUGUUGGUAUUCUUGUUUGGUGACAAUUAUGUGUAAUCUUAGUUGUACUAUCUAAAUAGCCAAUAUUUUUGCAGUGAUUCUAACAAGAAAACAAAAACUGAACCAUUAAUUCAGAUUUUGUUUGCCAUGGUUCAGUUUAGCUUUAAACCAUGGUUGCAUAUCAACAAGUCAAAACCUUUUUGAUUGCUACAUGCCCUCUGUGCACUCUCUCUCUCCCUCCCUUUUUCUCUCUAUCAUGUAUAUUUAGUGGCUUUGCAUCAAAUAUUUUAGCAGAAAAAGGACACGAGCAGAUUAGGCAGAAACAGUAUGUCGAAUUGCCUUGCCAGAAUAAACACCAUUGAACCUUGGAGGUGAUGUAGAAGUGGAAAAAAGGAGGGCUGACUGAGUACGUUGCCACUUGCCGUGGCCUUGGGAAUUUGUAGGUGCAGGCCAAUUGGAUUUGUUCAAAGUUGUGUCUGGACAUCCGAGUUUAUUGGUGCUGAUAUUCUAGCUGAUCAGUGCUUGAGUUGAGAUCUAUUCUAGACUAUGUUUUUCUUUUCUUUUCUUUUGAAUCUGUAUAUCUAGAGAUUGAUUGAAGAUCGGGAUCAACUGUCUUCUUGGCUUGUAAUGUAUAAAUUGCCAUUUCUGCAAUGCUGAGUAGCAGCAGCAGUUCCUACUACACUUGAUGAUUCAUUGCCGUC
This is a long non-coding RNA of Coffea arabica (coffee), 1500 nucleotides long. RefSeq lists it as uncharacterized. Lineage: Eukaryota; Viridiplantae; Streptophyta; Magnoliopsida; Gentianales; Rubiaceae. The record is from RefSeq and is a predicted model, not a curated record.